This 427-nucleotide ribosomal RNA is filed under the name uncultured Haloferula sp. RNAcentral's name for it is "bacterial SSU rRNA". It matches the Rfam family "Bacterial small subunit ribosomal RNA", at positions 353 to 772 of the family's 1533-position model. The record is from RNAcentral. Lineage: Bacteria; Pseudomonadati; Verrucomicrobiota; Verrucomicrobiia; Verrucomicrobiales; Verrucomicrobiaceae.
AGUCGAGAAUAAUUCACAAUGGACGAAAGUCUGAUGGUGCAACGCCGCGUGGAGGAUGAAGGUCUUCGGAUUGUAAACUCCUGUCAUUUGAGAGCAAGACCUGGCGGUGAAUAGCCGACAGGGUUGAUAGUAUCGAAAGAGGAAGGGACGGCUAACUUCGUGCCAGCAGCCGCGGUAAUACGAAGGUCCCGAGCGUUGUUCGGAAUCACUGGGCGUAAAGGGAGCGUAGGCGGCAUGGCAAGUCAGGUGUGAAAUCCCGGGGCUCAACCCCGGAACUGCACCCGAUACUGCCUUGCUAGAGUAAUGGAGGGGUAGCUGGAAUUCUCGGUGUAGCAGUGAAAUGCGUGGAUAUCGAGAGGAACACUUGUGGCGAAGGCGAGCUACUGGACAUUUACUGACGCUGAGGCUCGAAGGCCAGGGGAGCGAA